This 361-nucleotide RNase P RNA is filed under the name Bryobacteraceae bacterium. Its description in RNAcentral is "RNase P RNA component class A". It matches the Rfam family "Bacterial RNase P class A". From Rfam's summary of the family: Ribonuclease P (RNase P) is a ubiquitous endoribonuclease, found in archaea, bacteria and eukarya as well as chloroplasts and mitochondria. Its best characterised activity is the generation of mature 5'-ends of tRNAs by cleaving the 5'-leader elements of precursor-tRNAs. Lineage: Bacteria; Pseudomonadati; Acidobacteriota; Terriglobia; Bryobacterales; Bryobacteraceae. The record is from RNAcentral.
UACGCGGGAUGGGCAGCCGCCCGGUUUCGGCCGGGAGGAAAGUCCGGUCUCCACAGGGCAGCGUGCCGGCUAACGGCCGGGGGGAUUCGCUCAAAGCGAAUUUCACGGAAAGUGCCACAGAAAACAUACCGCCUGAUGAAGGUAAGGGUGAAAAGGUGCGGUAAGAGCGCACCGCGGACGGAGCAAUCCGUUCCGGCAGGGCAAACCCCACGCGGAGCAAGACCAAAUAGGGGAGGAGGAGUGGCCCGCUCCGUUCGACUUCCGGGUAGGUUGCUGGAGCGCGUCAGUAAUGGCGCGCCUAGAGGAAUGGCUGCCGCCUCUUGCGAGGUACAGAAACCGGCUUACAGAUCCCGCGUAUUCC